Molecule: ribosomal RNA, 440 nt
Filed under: uncultured bacterium
Lineage: Bacteria
Description: partial 16S ribosomal RNA
Rfam family: Bacterial small subunit ribosomal RNA
Source: RNAcentral
CCUACGGGAGGCAGCAGUGGGGAAUAUUGCACAAUGGGGGAAACCCUGAUGCAGCGACGCCGCGUGAGUGAAGAAGUAUUUCGGUAUGUAAAGCUCUAUCAGCAGGGAAGAAAAUGACGGUACCUGAUUAAGAAGCCCCGGCUAACUACGUGCCAGCAGCCGCGGUAAUACGUAGGGGGCAAGCGUUAUCCGGAUUUACUGGGUGUAAAGGGAGCGUAGACGGCUGCACAAGUCUGGAGUGAAAUGCUGGGGCUUAACCCCGGAACUGCAAUGGAAACUGUGCAGCUAGAGUGCAGGUGAGGUAAGUGGAAUGUGUGGGGUAGAGGUGAAAUGCUUAGAUAUAACGAAGAACUACGAUGGCGAAGGGAGCGUACGAAAAUGCAACGGACGUGGAUGCGCGAAAGUGUGGGUAGGAAACAGGAUUAGAUACCAGAGUAGUC